Molecule: long non-coding RNA, 2580 nt
Organism: Salvia miltiorrhiza (redroot sage)
Lineage: Eukaryota; Viridiplantae; Streptophyta; Magnoliopsida; Lamiales; Lamiaceae
Exons: 2
Source: RefSeq, a predicted model, not a curated record
UAUGUAUUAUUUUUUAUAUUUAUUUUUAAAUUUAAUAAUAUUAUAAAUAAUAAAAAAUAAAAACCCUAACCACCACCAAAUUUUCCCCAAAUCGAACCUGGCCUCUCUCUAUCUUCUCCAUCACGCUCACCACCGCAAUCCUCUCUCUGUCCGCCUUCCCACCGGCUCCGGCGAGGCUAUGUCCGGCCUAGGGCGCCGCUCUUCGACUACUUCCUCCCGUCAUUCAUUCUUCUCUCUCAAAAAUCACGGAUGAAGACAAAAGGGGAGCCCUUAUUUCCUCCCCAAAUCAGGAAUCGCCGCCGACUAAGCCGAAAUCCGGCAACGCAGCGCCCUUCUCUCCGGCUUUGUCGAUGCCUCCACGCCGGAGGCUUUCUCCUUCCCUUUCCCUUCCGAUUUUGAGCCCUAGCUUUCAUAGAAAGAAAUACCGCCGUCGCUGCAACUGGAACACCAGAGAAUGGUCGGGCUUCGUCCGUUCUCCUCCUCUUCUUCUCUCUGAAUCUGGCACCGCCGACUGAGGAACGUCGAUGAACGCCGCUCACUGCCAUGGUCUUCGAGGUUCGGGCAAGUGGUUGUCACCUCCGCUCUCUCGUUACCUCUCUCACUCACUCUCAUGAACAGAUCUCCCUCACACACGAAGAGAAUAGAAAUCGAGUCCUAGCUCUCUCUCGACACUUUCCCAAUCUCUCGCUGCUGUUACAUUUCUCUACCGAGCAGGUGAGGGCCUGCCGCCUCCGUCGAUCCUCCGAGCUCCGUCGUGCGUCGGAAGUUCGUCGUCGUGCCGCUCUCCUUGGUUACAGAGCAAGGUAGCCGCAAUUCUCCCCUUUCGAAGCUAAGUUUCCUGUCCCAUCUCUUUUCUAUUGAUGAUAGUGUUUUCUACGUCGUUGCAUAUCGACUUCUUAGUGUAGUGGAUUUCUAAUGAUUGGUUGCAAUUAAACGUCAGUAAAUUGCAUUAUGUCCUUGCCUUGUUUUUCUCCACAUAUACGAAGCAUUUCAUACUUCUAUGAUGAUGAGUUAUGGCAUUUGAUGUCCAUCUAAGAUGUUGAAAUCAUCUCAGUUCUAGAAAACUUGGAGCUGUCAUGACUUGUUAUUUACUGGCUAUAUCUACUUCAUCUUGUAUUAUUCCAACUUGGCUUGAUUUGUAGCAGUUAUGUAUGCUUCUUUCUUAAAACUUGUUGCUUUCACAUUUAAUCUUUGGAAUGAUAUUGCUAAAUUUCUUCUUUUAUCUCAUGAGAAUCUGUAUAUACUUCCUAGCAUCCAUUAUAUGAUGAUAUAUAUAGGAUGUCAUUUCAAAAAUUGCUCAUGGCCUCUUUAUUUUGUUUAUAUCUAUAUAUCUGCCUAUCAUACUUUGAUAAUUCAAAAAAAGUUGAUAAAACAUUAGUUUAUUUGAUUCAGAUCUUAUUUAUGUGAAGUUCUUUCUAUUGUCGCCCGCUUAUUGAUAAAAUGGGUUUUAUGUUUAGUUAACACAUUUCUUUUUAGUUUCUCAUACCAUGGAUUCCUAAAUGAACUGUUCUGCAAUUAAUUUUAUCCAAGAUUUGGAAAAUAUUAAGAAGAGCAAUGGUUUCAAAUGAACUCUAAUGGUUAAAAGAAUACUGCUGUAACAUCUGUGGAAUUUCACUUUGUGACUUCUAUAUCAGCUCUUUUCAUCCUUUACAUUUCUUUUAUUUGGUCCUGUCUGGCACCUAUAGAUCUAACACGAAUCUUCUUGCAUCAGAUUUGUUCUUUGCUCCAUCAGAGGUAUAAAGAAUUUGCUCCUAGUCUUGUUCGAAAUGUAGCCCAUCAUUUUAACUAGCAAGUGCAAUUGUGUCUCACUAGCUAGAGAAAAUGUAGAUGCGCAAACUAUCUCUCUGGUCAAGUCACUCAUUAACAAAUAUUGUGAACUAUGAUGGAUCUGGAUGGUUCCUCUAUUACUUUUUGACUGCGUAUAGUUACAUGCAUGAAUUUGGUAUUGAGUGCCUACGAUUUAUAAUUCUAAAGUUGUAUUUAUUUAUCGUGCUGGUGUCCAUGACUUACAGCUUCUCAAGGGACUUAAUAUUUAUUUGCUCUACUUUUGUUCUUCUUUUUCUCAAAUUUAAUCCAAGUAUUCGUUUUCUUGUUCUAAGUUUCGAAAUGGAAUCUGUUGUGCUGGGGCACCUGCUGCUGUUUUGAGCAAAGUGCUUAAAGAUAAAGAGGUCAUUGGAUAGAUGAUGUUGGCGAAGACCCAGCAAGAUGCCCCUUUGAGCAAACCUGGGACAAUUUAAUUUUUCUUGGUGUCAUCUGAUUCUUGGUGCUUCUAUUUACUUAUAUUUUUAGAGAGAUUGCAUUUAAUAAAAACCAUUUAUGUUUCACAGGGAGAUUGAUGGGAGUUGAUGCACCAUUUUUCAAUCGAGAAUGCAGCCAAAAAUUGAGCUAUGAGUACUAGUACUAAUGAGAAGGUUGAUGUAGAGAACGUCGUUUAAAAUAUAUAGCAAGUUGCGCUCAUUUGUAAUAUGUUUUUCUUAAUUAAGCAUUUAGCUAAAUAGAAUAUAUAUGAUGUUUUCAUUAUAUUUGGACGAUAAUGUAUGAAUAUUUUGGAUGUUAUAUAUGUUAUCGAUGACAAUGUCA